Molecule: long non-coding RNA, 537 nt
Organism: Zootoca vivipara (common lizard)
Lineage: Eukaryota; Metazoa; Chordata; Lepidosauria; Squamata; Lacertidae
Source: RefSeq, a predicted model, not a curated record
CAUAAGUAGAGGGACCUCUCCUUCCCCAGUCAACUGCUCUUCCACUUGGCUUCUGGAACCUCCAGGAUUCCCACCAACCUCCAGCCAUGAAGAUCUUCUGCCUCCUCUCUCUUGCCGUCCUCUUCCUGAUGCUGCUGGCUCCAGCCCAAGCUUGUCAUCAGAGAUGUCGACGGCGAGGUGGGAGAAUGCAAGCAAGGUGCUAUCCACCCCAAAGGCAACUUUUUAGGUGUGGUGGCCAAGCCUGUUGCCGCCGUUAAGGCGUGUUUCUCUGCAGAUCUCCUGUGCAAGACCUCUGGUGAAAGGAAGACCUCCCUGCUCUCCUCUGAUGUGCAGCUAGCUGCCUUGAAUGCCCCCCCCCAUCUCUGCUGGGGAAGAAACCGCUUUGCUUGAUGCUGCUGAAGGCGGUUCUGGGAAGGAAUCAAGAGGGAGCCAUCCGGUCUGACUCCUUAGAAAGUGGGCUCAGGAUCGGAGCUUGGAUUUGGUUUGCCUGCAAAAGUGCUUUAGCUUUUUCUUUUUAAUAAAUGCAAGCAUUGGAAA